GACGAACGCUGGCGGCGUGCUUAACACAUGCAAGUCGAACGGAAAGGCCCUGCUUGCUGGGUACUCGAGUGGCGAGCGGGUGAGUAACACGUGGGUGAUCUGCCCUGCACUUCGGGAUAAGCCUGGGAAACUGGGUCUAAUACCGGAUAGGAGCCAUUUUUAGUGUGAUGGUUGGAAAGUUUUUUCGGUGUAGGAUGAGCUCGCGGCCUAUCAGCUUGUUGGUGGGGUAAUGGCCUACCAAGGCGGCGACGGGUAGCCGGCCUGAGAGGGUGGACGGCCACGUUGGGACUGAGAUACGGCCCAGACUCCUACGGGAGGCAGCAGUGGGGAGUAUUGCACAAUGGGCGCAAGCCUGAUGCAGCGACGCCGCGUGGGGGAUGACGGCCUUCGGGUUGUAAACUCCUUUCGCUAGGGACGAAGCUGUUUGUGACGGUACCUAGAUAAGAAGCACCGGCUAACUACGUG
RNAcentral lists this ribosomal RNA (465 nucleotides) under uncultured bacterium. Its description in RNAcentral is "partial 16S ribosomal RNA". It matches the Rfam family "Bacterial small subunit ribosomal RNA", at positions 28 to 507 of the family's 1533-position model. The record is from RNAcentral.